Molecule: ribosomal RNA, 253 nt
Filed under: uncultured bacterium
Lineage: Bacteria
Description: partial 16S ribosomal RNA
Rfam family: Bacterial small subunit ribosomal RNA
Source: RNAcentral
GACGUAGGGUGCGAGCGUUGUCCGGAUUUAUUGGGCGUAAAGAGCUCGUAGGCGGCUCGUCGCGUCGACCGUGAAAACCCGCGGCUUAACUGCGGGCUUGCGGUUGAUACGGGCGGGCUAGAGUUCGGUAGGGGAGACUGGAAUUCCUGGUGUAGCGGUGAAAUGCGCAGAUAUCGGGAGGAACACCGGUGGCGAAGGCGGUUCUCUGGGCCUUACCUGACGCUGAGGAGCGAAAGCGUGGGGAGCGAACAGG